This 206-nucleotide microRNA precursor is filed under the name Oryza rufipogon (brownbeard rice). Its description in RNAcentral is "MIR812 microRNA precursor family". It matches the Rfam family "MIR812 microRNA precursor family". The record is from Rfam by way of RNAcentral. Lineage: Eukaryota; Viridiplantae; Streptophyta; Magnoliopsida; Poales; Poaceae.
AAAAAGACAAACUCUGGUUUCCAUGUCCAACGUUUGACCGUCCGUCUUAUUUGAAAAAAUUAUGAAAAAAAUUUAAAAGACAAGUCACGCAUAAAAUAUUAAUCAUAUUUUAUCAUCUAACAACAAUGAAAAUACGAAUUAUAAAAAAAAUUUCAUAUAAGACGGAUAGUCAAAGUUGGACACGGAAACUCAGGAUUUGCCUUUUU